GUAGUUAUUGAUGAAGAACUGAUGAAUUAUAUUCUUGAUGGUCUUAAUUUUGAAUAUGAUGCUGCUGUGGUAAAUAUAACU
This is a small nucleolar RNA of Pistacia vera, 81 nucleotides long. RefSeq annotates it as small nucleolar RNA Z247. NCBI's taxonomy places the organism in Eukaryota, Viridiplantae, Streptophyta, Magnoliopsida, Sapindales, Anacardiaceae. The record is from RefSeq and is a predicted model, not a curated record. The transcript has a single exon.